Acyrthosiphon pisum (pea aphid) is the source of this 57-nucleotide non-coding RNA. The record is from Rfam. NCBI's taxonomy places the organism in Eukaryota, Metazoa, Arthropoda, Insecta, Hemiptera, Aphididae.
AUUCUUACAAUGUCUGGUUUAAGUUAACAAACACUUAACCAGACAUUGUAAGAACGG